This 460-nucleotide ribosomal RNA is filed under the name uncultured bacterium. RNAcentral's name for it is "partial 16S ribosomal RNA". It matches the Rfam family "Bacterial small subunit ribosomal RNA", at positions 338 to 795 of the family's 1533-position model. The record is from RNAcentral.
CCUACGGGAGGCAGCAGUGAGGAAUAUUGGUCAAUGGGCUUACGCCUGAACCAGCCAAGUCGCGUGAGGGAAGACUGCCCUAUGGGUUGUAAACCUCUUUUGUCAGGGAGCAACGCCGGCUACGUGUAGCCGGACUGAGAGUACCUGAAGAAAAAGCAUCGGCUAACUCCGUGCCAGCAGCCGCGGUAAUACGGAGGAUGCGAGCGUUAUCCGGAUUUAUUGGGUUUAAAGGGUGCGUAGGCGGAAUGCCAAGUCAGCGGUAAAAUCGCGGGGCGAAACCUCGCUCCGACGUUGAACCUGGCAUUCGUGAGUAGGCGAGAAGUAUGCGGAAUGCGUGGUGGAGCGGUGAAAUGAAUAGAGAUCACGCAGAACUCCGAUUGAGAAGGAAGCAUACCGGCGCCCAACUGACGCUGAAGCAAGAAAGCGUGGGUAUCGAACAGGAUUAGAUACCCUAGUAGUC